Berkelbacteria bacterium GW2011_GWA2_46_7 is the source of this 89-nucleotide non-coding RNA. The record is from Rfam. Lineage: Bacteria; Candidatus Berkelbacteria.
UCAUAUUCUGCUAGAGUAAAAAAGAACAUGAGAAGUCAGCAGCGUCGUAGUACUCCGCUACGCUUGAAAGAGCGAAGUGGGGGAAGGAC